GCCCCCGUAGCUCAGUUGGAUAGAGCAGCAGUUUCCUAAACUGUUGGUCGGCGGUUCGACUCCGCCCGGGGGCA
This 74-nucleotide transfer RNA is filed under the name Gemmatimonadota bacterium. Its description in RNAcentral is "tRNA-Arg". It matches the Rfam family "tRNA". Rfam says of the family: Transfer RNA (tRNA) molecules are approximately 80 nucleotides in length. Their secondary structure includes four short double-helical elements and three loops (D, anti-codon, and T loops). Further hydrogen bonds mediate the characteristic L-shaped molecular structure. tRNAs have two regions of fundamental functional importance: the anti-codon, which is responsible for specific mRNA codon recognition, and the 3' end, to which the tRNAs corresponding amino acid is attached (by aminoacyl-tRNA synthetases). tRNAs cope with the degeneracy of the genetic code in two manners: having more than one tRNA (with a specific anti-codon) for a particular amino acid; and 'wobble' base-pairing, i.e. permitting non-standard base-pairing at the 3rd anti-codon position. The record is from RNAcentral. Lineage: Bacteria; Pseudomonadati; Gemmatimonadota.